Misgurnus anguillicaudatus (oriental weatherfish) is the source of this 1924-nucleotide non-coding RNA. The record is from RefSeq and is a predicted model, not a curated record. NCBI's taxonomy places the organism in Eukaryota, Metazoa, Chordata, Actinopteri, Cypriniformes, Cobitidae.
CCAGCACAAGACGUCAUUUAGACGUUGUUUUUUGGGCUAAAUCACGUCGGCCCGUCAUGACCUUCAUUUAGUCCAAAAAAAGACGUUGAAAACUGGUCUUUGUUUGGUCCGUCUAAUUCAGUCCAAAUUUAGCCUAAAAUUAGACGUCUUUUUCGGACCACUUUUCAACGUGUCUCCAUUCAAUAAUAAUCCUGACAAAAUAUGCAUGAAUGUAUAAAUACUGAGCACAUUGAACGAUAAUGAAACAUAUGCUUUGUUUAAAGUCUAUUAAUAUUUCUGUUUAUUUUAAUUAAAUAAAUAUCUUAAAUGUGCUCUAAACAGGUCAUUUCGGUCCUGUACAGCACUGAUAGAAGCACUUCAUUUUCAUCUUUUAACAAAUAUCUUUAUUUUCUUUUAAUAUGAUAUUAUUGGCAGAGGCGCGCGUCCGUCUCAUGCUUUGUGAUCACGUGAUUAUUCAACGGGGAGACGCGCGUUCUGGAUUUACAGUUUCUCCUCAGACAAGUGUUUCUGUUUUGUGGUCGAUUCUGGGAUCCUUUUCUUGGUGUGUCUUGAUGUUUUCUAUUGGCUAAAGAUGCAAAUAAGGAGACUUACAGUAGGAGCUGCUGGUUUGUGGUUGGCAGUAUGGAUCACGGUCUGCGACUCAUGAGGAGCUGGUCUGGAGACAUGAAGAGGUUGUCAACAGACGUCUGAAGCUAAUACCUGCCAUGGUCUGAUUGGUAUUUCAUGAGGAAUCAUGGGUUCCUUGGUAUUUGAAUUAUGUUGAACCAGGCAAGUACUCCAUCUUUCGAUCAUGUGUUCUGUCUGCUUACACAUUCCUAGCCAGAAUAACAUUUCGUGCUCUUAGCUUAGACUUCUCAGCGUGUGCGCAUAUCUCAGGUCAGAUAUGACUAUUUUCUAAUCUUCACUGGUCAAUGAAAGUUUGUCUUAAAAGUCAAUAAUGUAUGUGGGAAAUUGUCUCCUCUUUGCAGGCCAUCCAUCCAAGAUCAUCUAUCUGAGCUGCUGAAAACUGCCUCGGUACGGAUCUGUUGGAGCUUUGUGUCACUGACUGAAUUUCUGCAAAUUCCUGUUCCGUGUCAUAUUGCUUAUGCAAGACUGAAUCCAUAAAGAUGCUGUAACCAUAAAGCAACCAGGACAACACACCUGCAGUGACCGAGAGCAGGAUGAAGGAGGAAUCGGAUGAGAAAAUGUCAACUGGUGCCCAUGAGGAGACAUAUUGUUCUUGGACCUGCUUUUUAUGUUUAGUAAUAAGUGGUUUUAUGUGGUUAAAAAAAGUAAUGUAAUAUUAAUAUUUAAUAUUUUAAUAUUCACUCCAAAAUGGUCUAGUAUUGUCACUUAACUUAUGCUGCUUGACUUCUCAGCAUAAAGAUCAUUAUUAAAUUAAUAUUAAAUAUUUCAAAUUUAGAAAUAGGCUACCCCAUGCCAUCUAAUAAAGAAGUGGGUACUCCGUGCGUGUCGUGUACCCAGCACUACACCAUAUGGCAUCAUUGAUGUCUGUUGUAAGUAGAUAUAUAACUGUUAUUAAAUAAUUAUAUUGUAUUUCUUUCUAUUUAAGUCCAAGUUCAAAAUAAAACUCUAUAAACCUCUCCAUUGUGAAAUGGUUUAUAUACAUUCACGGUUUAUAGAGUUUUAUUUUGAACUUGGACAUAAAUACGAAAAAAUAUAAUAUAAUUAUUUAAUAAAAAGUUAUACUAACAGCGGACAUCAAUGAUGCCAUAUGGCCCGGCAUUGAAUUGACCCCUCAGAUCUGAUUUGUGCAUUUUUGUAUUCAUGGUUAAAAUGUUCAACUUUUUGAUUGUAAUAAUAAUUUAACCUUAUCCCCAUAUGGGAUUUAAAAUGUUCAGUGACAUUACUGUCAGAUUCAAACGUCUUUCGCGCUGAGCCAGACGGACGAGCUCAGCGCUGUCAUAUAGCAACAUGCAGUGUU